AUUGAACGCUGGCGGCAUGCUUUACACAUGCAAGUCGAACGGUAACAGGCCGCAAGGUGCUGACGAGUGGCGAACGGGUGAGUAAUGCAUCGGAACGUGCCCAGUCGUGGGGGAUAACUACUCGAAAGAGUAGCUAAUACCGCAUACGAUCUAUGGAUGACAGCGGGGGACCGUAAGGCCUCGCGCGAUUUGAGCGGCCGAUGUCAGAUUAGGUAGUUGGUGGGGUAAAGGCUCACCAAGCCAACGAUCUGUAGCUGGUCUGAGAGGACGACCAGCCACACUGGGACUGAGACACGGCCCAGACUCCUACGGGAGGCAGCAGUGGGGAAUUUUGGACAAUGGGCGCAAGCCUGAUCCAGCAAUGCCGCGUGCAGGAAGAAGGCCUUCGGGUUGUAAACUGCUUUUGUACGGAAAGAAACGGAUCUGGUUAAUACCCGGGGCUAAUGACGGUACCGUAAGAAUAAGCACCGGCUAACUACGUG
RNAcentral lists this ribosomal RNA (482 nucleotides) under uncultured bacterium. RNAcentral's name for it is "partial 16S ribosomal RNA". It matches the Rfam family "Bacterial small subunit ribosomal RNA", at positions 30 to 507 of the family's 1533-position model. The record is from RNAcentral.